GAAUUUUGGACAAUGGGCGAAAGCCUGAUCCAGCAAUGCCGCGUGCAGGAUGAAGGCCUUCGGGUUGUAAACUGCUUUUGUAUGGAACGAAAAGCUUUGGGUUAAUACCCUGGAGUACUUACGUUACCGUACGAAUAAGAACCGCCUAACUACUGACCCCAAGCCGCGGCAAUAGGUAGGGGGCAAACGCUAACCGGAUUUACUGGGCGGAAAGGGGGCGCGGGCGGUUUUGUAAGACAGAGGUGAAAUCCCCGGGCUCAACCUGGGAGCUGCCUUUGUGACUGAAAGGCUAGAGUACGGCAGAGGGGGGUGGAAUUCCGGGUGUAGCAGUGAAAUGCGUAGAUAUGCGGAGGAACACCGAUGGCGAAGGCAACCCCCUGGGCCUGUACUGACGCUCAUGCACGAAAGCGUGGGGAGCAAACA
This 423-nucleotide ribosomal RNA is filed under the name uncultured bacterium. RNAcentral describes it as "partial 16S ribosomal RNA". It matches the Rfam family "Bacterial small subunit ribosomal RNA", at positions 359 to 774 of the family's 1533-position model. The record is from RNAcentral.